RNAcentral lists this long non-coding RNA (495 nucleotides) under Homo sapiens (human). RNAcentral's name for it is "non-protein coding LINC00342:7". Lineage: Eukaryota; Metazoa; Chordata; Mammalia; Primates; Hominidae. The record is from RNAcentral.
CAUUUAGCAGACAGAAUCAAUAGAGUUGAUGAGUGACUGACUGGAUGUGUGGGGAGUUUAUAUCACUCCCAGGUUUUUGACUUGGGCAACCGGGCACUCAAGAAGGAAAAAGAGGAUCCAGGGAGAGGAACUUUUCUGAGGACUGGGGUAGGGCUGAACAGCUGCAUUCGAGACUGGUGGAGGGUGGGCUGGGCAUGGGAUGCACAAAUGGAAAUUCCACUGGGUCUGCAGCUCACACAUAGGCAUGACCAGCAUAGAGAUAGAGAGGCCCCAGUGCUGCUGAGUAACUGUGAUUCCCCAGGUGAUGGCAUCAGCUGAGAAGGGAAGGAAGCCCAUGUGAGGACACUGAAGAAGGAGUGAGCAGACAAUAAGAAGCCCACAGAAGACAGAGAAGGAACAACUAGAGGGAGAAGCCAAGGCAGACACUACCCAAAGCAGUCCUUCACUACAGUGGCAGACAGACCUGAAAAUUUUCAUCUGAAGCAGCAGAGUGAA